RNAcentral lists this unclassified non-coding RNA (326 nucleotides) under Hevea brasiliensis (rubber tree). The record is from RNAcentral. Lineage: Eukaryota; Viridiplantae; Streptophyta; Magnoliopsida; Malpighiales; Euphorbiaceae.
GGAAGAUCCUAUUGGCAAUGAUCAUCAUUAUUUCACAAAUUUAAGGGGUAGAUGUUCAUCAUCCUGUUCAUGAAAUUUGAGCACAUAAUCACGCAUUUUUUUCCCCAGUGCUUGGGGCCCUGCAAGCUACAAGUCAGGACAUUAGAGAUGCAAUUCUGAAAGAUUCAAAGGCUAAAAAGCACGCUGGCCUUCGGCUAUUCAUGGCAUGGCUUGGCAGCUUCAUUUAUUAAAAUGCAACUUGUUGAACUGAAUUAUGGAAAGUGAGAAUGCUGUACGUCUUUUUUGUUUUUGCAUAGAAAUAAUAGAGAGGAAGAAAACAAAAAGCA